RNAcentral lists this ribosomal RNA (112 nucleotides) under uncultured bacterium. RNAcentral describes it as "partial 16S ribosomal RNA". The record is from RNAcentral.
UUGGUCAAUGGACGAAAGCCUGACACCAGCCAAGCCGCGUGCAGGAUGACGGCCCUAUGGGUGGAAAACUGUUUUUAUAGGGGAAAAAAGGGAGGCACCGUGUGGCAAUAUU